GAAAGAACGCCCAUUCACAACUGCCACUGAUACACUGAAGAUUAGCAUGGCCCCUGUGCAAGGAUGACAUGCAAAUUCAUAAAGUGCUCCAUAUUUUU
Callithrix jacchus (white-tufted-ear marmoset) is the source of this 98-nucleotide small nuclear RNA. Lineage: Eukaryota; Metazoa; Chordata; Mammalia; Primates; Cebidae. The record is from Ensembl.